Long non-coding RNA from Saccostrea echinata, 221 nucleotides. RefSeq lists it as uncharacterized. NCBI's taxonomy places the organism in Eukaryota, Metazoa, Mollusca, Bivalvia, Ostreida, Ostreidae. The transcript is spliced from 3 exons. The record is from RefSeq and is a predicted model, not a curated record.
ACUUGAAGGUCACAAACAUGUGCAACAGCUGUGCAAGAUUGCAGAUCCACGUUACCUCGUCUGAUGUCAUGUCGUGUGCAGUGAGCAUGAGAAAAACAACCCUACUUUACCCUAGACUAGAAAAAAGACUGGAGGUCAGAAUGCAGGAUGAUUGAGCAUGGAGUGCUGGCAGAUGGACUAUUGAGGUCAACAAAAAAUUUGGACUUUCACCAGGUGGACAC